CGCUGCGCUUCAACCUGCCCGCGCCUUUGGGUGCCGUGAGCUGGCUGCGCGCCACGUCGUUUCGAGGACAUAAGAAGGUGUUUCCAAGUCCAGUCUGUCCACCGACCUGAACCUUUACCACUGAAAGAACAAAGGGGUGGGGCCCGAGGGACCCUUCCCUGCCCUCCCAUGGUGUGUGGUCAGGGAUGCUCCUGCAGACACACACAGGUGGGCUCUGCCAAAUCGCAGGGGUGGUGCCGUGGUCCUCACCUGCCAUGUCACCAGAGUGCUGACACGCACACCGGAGACAGUGCUAGGCCCGGCACAUCCCAGCCAAUUCCUCUGUAAAUGAUGUAGAAGCCCCAGCACCCUGAGGCUAGGCAAAGGGAAGCAAUAGAAUUCUCCAGAGCCUGAAGGAAGCGGGAGGGUCUGUCCCAGUGAAUGCACUCGGCCAAUUCCUCCCUGUCCUCCCUCUGCCAACGCUGCCGGCCUGCAGCCUGGACCUGGCCUGGGUUGUGGAGGGGAUCAGAGGGUGUGGCGGCCGCCUGCUGGGUGCACGUGGGCCUAGGUGGUCCUCAGCCCUCAGCCCUUAUGGCAGGAGCCCCCGAAGCACUGCUGUGGCACCCUCUCUGACAUUGGGCCAGGGAGACGCUGGAAGCCGGGUGCAGAGCCAGGGCCCAGCACCCAGGCCUUGGGCUCCAGCCCGUCCCCCACAUCUGGAAUGUGCCCGCAGGGCCCAGUGUGAGAGAAGAGCGGAUCCCUACGUGAGUAAGGGUGGAGGGAUGGUGCCUCUGCCGUGGCCAUGGUGCUGCCGUCCACAUCAGCUCUCUCUCAGCACAGAUCCUGUGUGAAGGCCUCAGGGACCACGAUCCUCCUCGUUCUGAGGGCCCUAGCAGGUCGGGCUCCUGCUGUGCUGGCUCAACAUUGACUAGCUGGUGGGCUUGGUGGGUCUGUGGUCACAGAGAGACCAGAACCCGCAUAACAGGCCCGAUGAGGAUGCCAGGCUGCACUGACCCCCGAGCUUCAGAGGAGAGGGGCACCAGCUGGGAGCCCUGCACAGACAGCCUCAGGAGUUGGACCACAGGUAUCCUCUUCAUCAGAGGGAGAAGAGCUCACAACCUGGGAGAACUCCAGGCCUGGCCCAGUGAAGACGUCCUUAUCUUCAGCAGACGUUGCCCAGUGCAAAGGGAGGCCAGCCUCAGGAGGCACGGACGGUGGCGUAGCAUCCAUCCGAAGGCCCUGCCUGCAGCACGGGAUGCCACAGAGGUCCCCUGUGACAGAGCCUCAUGGGGCAGGCAGGGGUGGCAGCUGCUCCUGCGUGAAGAGGCAGAUGCAAACCUACGGUGUGGCCUCUGGGGUCCCACAUCCCAGGUAGAGAGUGACCCAGGUCGCUGGCAUCUGUGCCAUCUCUGCUCCACUGACCACUCAUGGGGGUCCUGGAGAUCCUGACACCAGUGGCCGGGGAGCAGCAGCCCAGGCACAGGCCCCAGUGCACACUCAGAUCCCACGGUGUGUGCACAUGGUCUUGCCCCGAGGCCUGGGUGCUGUAUGAGGGCCAGGAUGCUAACGCAGCGGAGGAUACCCACACGUGAGCUGCGCUGGGUUUCCUUGUACCCAAACGGGAUAUGCAGGGUUCCACUGUGCAGUUGCUGUGUAUUUUAGGAUCUCAUCCCCGUGUGCCCCAGCAGGACCACAGCUGUGACCGGCUGCUGCAGAAGGGUCCAGCUCCAGACUGACUUUCUGAGGUCACGGAUGGAGCCUCACCCCAUCCAAGGUGAUGUCCUGGACUCCCAGUGUGUUCCCCAGAGGGCAGGGUACCUGGGGCCCAGCCUGGGCGGCAGGAGGGACUCAGCCCCUCGUCCAGGCAGGAAGGCUCCCAAGCAGAGGCCCCUCCCUCGUGCACUCCCCAGCCCCCACCUGCGGCACUGGGACUGGGACUAAUAAAACACCCACCUCGCAGAAGACAGCUUUAUCUUGUUGAUCGGAAGUCUGCCAGCCCAAUUUAUGAUGGAACAUAAGAUCUCCAAAUCUGAAUUUAUGCGCUGUAGCGUAACGAGAGGUCAAUGAGAUUAAACGGGGGCUCAGGAGAGGACCAGCGCUAGGCUCACUCGAGGCGCUGCACAGAAAACCCACAGCCAGAGCCCCUGGGCCCGGCCCAGGCAAGACCAGAAAAGGAAGGGGCAGGUGGGAGACCAGCCUGGGGCUCCAGGGAAGGCCACGGGAUGGAGGCAGGAGAGCCAGCUGGCCUGGGGCAACCCUGGGAUGGCUCCUGGAUGGAGGAGAGCAGAGGGGUGACGAGGGUUCCCUCAGGGCUGGGGAGCCUUCUCCUGGUCUCAGACCCACCCCCCUUCAGCUGCCAAACCCUGGGCGCCCCUGAUUCUGAGGACAGUUGGGAACCUGCCCUGAGGCAGGUUCAAGGACAGAGCUCUGACCCUGGCCCAGGGCUGCUUUGGUGCCCAUGAACUCGGCUUCUGGCUCAGAGCAGUUCCCUGCACCCCUUUCUGAGCCCUCUGUCCUCUGGAACCCGUGGGCAGGGCGAGGGACCAGUGCUCUGUCUGGGUGGGGGCCUGGGCUCCCAGCCAGCACAAGGCUGAGCUUAGGGCAGACCCUGACUUCAGAAUUUAUACAAAUAAACGCAAUGAAAAGUGCUGGCAGCCUGA
This is a long non-coding RNA of Cercocebus atys (sooty mangabey), 2639 nucleotides long. RefSeq lists it as uncharacterized. NCBI's taxonomy places the organism in Eukaryota, Metazoa, Chordata, Mammalia, Primates, Cercopithecidae. The transcript has 4 exons. The record is from RefSeq and is a predicted model, not a curated record.